UAGGGAAUCUUCCACAAUGGACGCAAGUCUGAUGGAGCAACGCCGCGUGAGUGAAGAAGGGUUUCGGCUCGUAAAGCUCUGUUGUUAAAGAAGAACACGUAUGAGAGUAACUGUUCAUACGUUGACGGUAUUUAACCAGAAAGUCACGGCUAACUACGUGCCAGCAGCCGCGGUAAUACGUAGGUGGCAAGCGUUAUCCGGAUUUAUUGGGCGUAAAGAGAGUGCAGGCGGUUUUCUAAGUCUGAUGUGAAAGCCUUCGGCUUAACCGGAGAAGUGCAUCGGAAACUGGAUAACUUGAGUGCAGAAGAGGGUAGUGGAACUCCAUGUGUAGCGGUGGAAUGCGUAGAUAUAUGGAAGAACACCAGUGGCGAAGGCGGCUACCUGGUCUGCAACUGACGCUGAGACUCGAAAGCAUGGGUAGCGAACAGGAUUAGAUACCCUGGUAGUCCAUGCCGUAAACGAUGAGUGCUAGGUGUUGGAGGGUUUCCGCCCUUCAGUGCCGGAGCUAACGCAUUAAGCACUCCGCCUGGGGAGUACGACCGCAAGGUUG
This 550-nucleotide ribosomal RNA is filed under the name uncultured bacterium. Its description in RNAcentral is "bacterial SSU rRNA". It matches the Rfam family "Bacterial small subunit ribosomal RNA", at positions 355 to 896 of the family's 1533-position model. The record is from RNAcentral.